GAGGGUAUAGCUCAGUGGUUAGAGUACAUGCUUAGCUUGCUGGAGGUCCUGAGUUCAAUCCCCAGUACUUCCA
This 73-nucleotide transfer RNA is filed under the name Camelus bactrianus (Bactrian camel). It matches the Rfam family "tRNA". From Rfam's summary of the family: Transfer RNA (tRNA) molecules are approximately 80 nucleotides in length. Their secondary structure includes four short double-helical elements and three loops (D, anti-codon, and T loops). Further hydrogen bonds mediate the characteristic L-shaped molecular structure. tRNAs have two regions of fundamental functional importance: the anti-codon, which is responsible for specific mRNA codon recognition, and the 3' end, to which the tRNAs corresponding amino acid is attached (by aminoacyl-tRNA synthetases). tRNAs cope with the degeneracy of the genetic code in two manners: having more than one tRNA (with a specific anti-codon) for a particular amino acid; and 'wobble' base-pairing, i.e. permitting non-standard base-pairing at the 3rd anti-codon position. Lineage: Eukaryota; Metazoa; Chordata; Mammalia; Artiodactyla; Camelidae. RNAcentral also lists the same sequence under 1 other name. The record is from Rfam by way of RNAcentral.